AUUGAACGCUGGCGGCAUGCCUUACACAUGCAAGUCGAACGGCAGCACGGGAGCAAUCCUGGUGGCGAGUGGCGAACGGGUGAGUAAUAUAUCGGAACGUGCCCAGUCGUGGGGGAUAACGCAGCGAAAGCUGUGCUAAUACCGCAUACGAUCUAAGGAUGAAAGCGGGGGAUCGCAAGACCUCGCGCGAUUGGAGCGGCCGAUACCAGAUUAGCUAGUUGGUGGGGUAAAGGCCCACCAAGGCGACGAUCUGUAGCUGGUCUGAGAGGAGGACAAGCCACACUGGAACUGAGACACGGUCCAGACUCCUACGGGAGGCAGAAGUGGGGAAUUUUGGACAAUGGGCGCAAGCCUGAUCCAGCAAUGCCGCGUGCAGGAUGAAGGCCUUCGGGUUGUAAACUGCUUUUGUACGGAACGAAACGGCCCUUUCUAAUACAGGGGGCUAAUGACGGUACCGUAAGAAUAAGCACCGGCUAACUACGUGCCAGCAGCCGCAGUAA
This 500-nucleotide ribosomal RNA is filed under the name uncultured bacterium. RNAcentral's name for it is "partial 16S ribosomal RNA". It matches the Rfam family "Bacterial small subunit ribosomal RNA", at positions 30 to 523 of the family's 1533-position model. The record is from RNAcentral.